GUGUUCCGCCUGGGGAGUACGGUCGCAAGAUUAAAACUCAAAGGAAUAGACGGGUACCCGCACAAGUGGUGGAGCAUGUGGUUUAACUCGAAGAUACGCGAAAAACCUUACCUGGCCUUGACAUUGAUAGAAUCUUCCAGAGAUGGAGGAGUGCCCUUCGGGGAGCUUGAAGACAGGUGCUGCACGGCUGUCGUCAGCUCGUGUCGUGAGAUGUUGGGUUAAGUCCCGCAACGAGCGCAACCCUCGUCCUUAGUUGCCAGCAGGUUAAGCUGGGCACUCUAAGGAGACUGCCUUCGCAAGGAGGAGGAAGGUGAGGACGACGUCAAGUCAUCAUGGCCCUUACGGCCAGGGCUACACACGUGCUACAAUGGGGCGUACAGAGAGUUGCAAUACCGCGAGGUGGAGCCAAUCUCAUAAAGCGUCUCUCAGUUCGGAUUGUUCUCUGCAACUCGAGAGCAUGAAGCUGGAAUCACUAGUAAUCGUAGAUCAGCAUUGCUACGGUGAAUACGUUCCCGGGUCUUGUACACACCGCCCGU
RNAcentral lists this ribosomal RNA (536 nucleotides) under uncultured bacterium. RNAcentral describes it as "bacterial SSU rRNA". It matches the Rfam family "Bacterial small subunit ribosomal RNA", at positions 864 to 1397 of the family's 1533-position model. The record is from RNAcentral.